Suncus etruscus (white-toothed pygmy shrew) is the source of this 148-nucleotide long non-coding RNA. RefSeq lists it as uncharacterized. Lineage: Eukaryota; Metazoa; Chordata; Mammalia; Eulipotyphla; Soricidae. The record is from RefSeq and is a predicted model, not a curated record. The transcript has 3 exons.
AUAGAACACUGGACAUGGAAAAAGAUGCUUCGAGUUUUGCUUUUCAAGGAGAAAACAGGCUCAAUUUCCCAUGUAUGUUUUCCUGCCAGAACGACUAACAACAGGAUUGCCAAGGGAUUCCCAAGUGGUCUAUUUCAUUUAAGUAGUA